GAUGAACGCUGGCGGCGUGCCUAAUACAUGCAAGUCGAGCGAACAGACGAGGAGCUUGCUCCUCUGACGUUAGCGGCGGACGGGUGAGUAACACGUGGAUAACCUACCUAUAAGACUGGGAUAACUUCGGGAAACCGGAGCUAAUACCGGAUAAUAUAUUGAACCGCAUGGUUCAAUAGUGAAAGACGGUUUUGCUGUCACUUAUAGAUGGAUCCGCGCCGCAUUAGCUAGUUGGUAAGGUAACGGCUUACCAAGGCAACGAUGCGUAGCCGACCUGAGAGGUAGACCGGCCAAAUGGGAACUGAAACAGGGUCAAAACCCCAGGGGGGGGCGACGGUAGGAAAUCUUCAAGAAGGGGAAAAGCCCUAACGGAACAACGCGGAGUGAGUGGAGAAGGUCUUAGGAUCAUAAAACUCUUUUAUAAGGAAAAAAAAAGUGGGAAAGAAACUAGUCCCGUCUGGAGGGUAACUAAUAAAAAGACCACGACAAACUACGAC
This 497-nucleotide ribosomal RNA is filed under the name uncultured bacterium. Its description in RNAcentral is "partial 16S ribosomal RNA". It matches the Rfam family "Bacterial small subunit ribosomal RNA", at positions 28 to 507 of the family's 1533-position model. The record is from RNAcentral.